UAAGAAGGGGGCUAGCGUUGUUCGGAAUCACUGGGCGUAAAGCGCACGUAGGCGGAUUGUUAAGACAGGGGUGAAAUCCCGAGGCUAAACCUCGGAACUGCCUUUGAUACUGGCGAUCUAGAUUCCGGGAGAGGUGAGUGGAACUGCGAGUGUAGAGGUGAAAUUCGUAGAUAUUCGCAAGAACACCAGUGGCGAAGGCGGCUCACUGGCCUGGAACUGACGCUGAGGUGCGAAAGCGUGGGGAGCAAACAGG
Molecule: ribosomal RNA, 253 nt
Filed under: uncultured bacterium
Lineage: Bacteria
Description: partial 16S ribosomal RNA
Rfam family: Bacterial small subunit ribosomal RNA
Source: RNAcentral